GGAGGGGCUGGCGCCCCUCCCACCCCUGGAAAGCCUUGAAAACCACUGCACCGGAAACGGUGCCGGGGGUUCGAAUCCCUCUCCCUCCGCCA
This 92-nucleotide transfer RNA is filed under the name Terriglobia bacterium. RNAcentral's name for it is "tRNA-OTHER". Lineage: Bacteria; Pseudomonadati; Acidobacteriota; Terriglobia. The record is from RNAcentral.